Molecule: ribosomal RNA, 390 nt
Filed under: uncultured bacterium
Lineage: Bacteria
Description: bacterial SSU rRNA
Rfam family: Bacterial small subunit ribosomal RNA
Source: RNAcentral
AUUGAACGCUGGCGGAAUGCUUUACACAUGCAAGUCGAACGGCAGCACGGGUGCUUGCACCUGGUGGCGAGUGGCGAACGGGUGAGUAAUGCACCGGAACGUAUCCAAUAAUGGGGGAUAACGCACCGAAAGGUGUGCUAAUACCGCAUACGCCCUGAGGGGGAAAGCGGGGGAGUCGUAAGACCUCGCGUUAAUGGAGCGGCCGAUGCCGGAUUAGCUAGUUGGUGAGGUAAAGGCUCACCAAGGCGACGAUCCGUAGCUGGUCUGAGAGGACGACCAGCCACACUGGAACUGAGACACGGUCCAGACUCCUACGGGAGGCAGCAGUGGGGAAUUUUGGACAAUGGGCGCAAGCCUGAUCCAGCCAUUCCGCGUGAGUGAAGAAGGCCU